This is a long non-coding RNA of Gavialis gangeticus (Gharial), 2069 nucleotides long. RefSeq lists it as uncharacterized. The record is from RefSeq and is a predicted model, not a curated record. NCBI's taxonomy places the organism in Eukaryota, Metazoa, Chordata, Crocodylia, Gavialidae. The transcript has 3 exons.
CUGUCAUUUCCCAGGUUUUAUAAGAAGCAAACUGGAAACCAAACAAAAGUGAAAAACAAAACAAGUAAUUGAAAAUGGAAGGUUCUACAUUUCAGGAUGGAUUAUUAAGCAGAUACAGCUCUCCACUGCAGGAAAAAGAGUUUCUCAGUACUGGCUCAUUAGAGCGUCUUUAGGGAUGGAAGUGAUGUGGAAUGUCCCAUGGAUCAAAAAGUGGAAGACUGGAACAGUCAAAAUGAGAGUUAAGAACAAGAUCUGAAGUUGGGAGAUAUGAAUUAAGUUCCCAGUUCUGCCAUCAGCUUACUUUACCCAGCUAUAAAAUGAACAAUAAAUAUGUAUAUACUAAGGCUCUGUAACAGGAAAUUCAACAGUAUCCAUACCCCCCAAGGAAAAGUAUAUAUAAAAAAUAUUUAACUGGAAAUAUGCAAAACAUUGGACAAGUUACAUUGUCAUCUGUGUGGCUUUUCAGAUUCCUUUUAUUUAAAGUAAUGUGUGUGAGGAAAAAAUAGCUAUUUAAGGAAGAAAAUAAAUCUGCCAAUCUUGUAUUGAUGAAAGAUCAGCUCCUCCUUUUGUGGAAGGUAUGCUGCCUUCAGAAUGGGCAAUUUGAUAAUGCCAAUCAAGCAACUGUGGUCCACUAAUUGAUUUUUCACAAGAUAUAUGAUGAAAGCUUGUACUUAUCUGGUAGUCAGUUUGGAAAUAUAAACCUCAGAUGUUAUAAAAAAAGCUGGAUUUGUGGCUAAGAAAAAAUGAUCAAAAUAUGAGGGGAGGAUAGCAAGUUCACACAACAUGCACAAUAAGCAUGUUUGCUUAAAGCCACAAGAGUUUUUAAAAAAUGUGUUUUCUAGCACUGUCAGCUAGGAAAAAAAAUCCAAAUUCCCCUAUACUCAACUGUUAUUUAGUGAUGCCAUACACACAAAUAUGUUGGAAAUAUAUUGGGAAAAUUACUAAUAGAUUUUAAAAUUACAGUUUUAGGGACACAUUUAAAUAUUGCAAUUUUAUAGAUUUAUUUUACACAACAGCUUUACAAGGUGCCCAUAUGACCUUAAAAUCUCUGGUUAAGUUUUCCCAAAUGUACAUGGUUAAAGUUUCAGAAAGGCUGAUGCCUUGAACAUAUAAAUCAGUCCUCAGAACCGUGAUGUUAGCAGAUUUGUUGUUAAUACUUUUCUUUCCAAUAUUUGAACAAAAUAUACACUUUAGGUACAGGAUUUUAGAAUAUAUUUAAGGCUUUUAUUAUUAUUAUUUGCCUCUGCAUACUGCUCCAGACUUAAUUUCUAGAUGCAAGAUGAGAAUAUUUGUUAAAGAGACCAUGGGAAUAAUUUCCACAGGACUUCUAAUACUUUAAAAUUUACUAUUACCUGGACAAAUGUUAUAACUAAAUGCACUGUGUGACUUAUAGGAAUUUUUAAAAGACAAACAACUUGUAAAAGCAGUUGGGUCUUUUUAUUUAUGUAUUUGAAAAAGACCAACAAAAAUGCAAAGAGUUCUAGAAUUAUUUAAUAUUAAAAUACAUAUGCACAACUGGUAGAGGAGGCAACUCUGUGAAAUCAGUGAACCACCUCAACAUGUAUUAAAGAACUAGUGUUGGGCUAUAUACUUUGUAUGUAUUUAUGCUACACUGGAAUCUUAAGCAAGGGUUUUUAUUUUUCUUCUCCAAAAAAGCAGCAAAAUCCUAUCAAUCUUAACUCCUUAACAUGGGUAGCUUCAUAAUAGCACAUUCUUUUAAAGUGAAAUACUUAUUAGUUUGCUUCUCUAAUCUUUUACUCAGCAUAAAACACUCAGCAUCAAACAUUGAAGAGUUUAGCUUAUUAAUGAAAGGCCAUAAUUGUGACCUUUUUUUAAUAGUCCUGCAAGGGGAACAACAUAUAUUCAAAUAACCCCCCAGGAGUAUAUAAUUCUGGUGAGCUGGAAAAUGAAGCCAAGGUGCUGCCUCAUUGCUCUUCUAAAACCUUUUUGGGAUAGUGUAUGUUUCUAAAAAAUUAGGAUGGUGAGUUCUUUUUCUAGAUCGCAGAGCCCGUGUCUACGUCAGACGUUGACUGUGCAGUUAUUACUGCACUGUCAUUUAGUACUUGCAU